RNAcentral lists this unclassified non-coding RNA (200 nucleotides) under soil metagenome. RNAcentral describes it as "partial contains internal transcribed spacer 2 and large subunit ribosomal RNA". The record is from RNAcentral.
AAUUCAUUUUUAUGACCAUCAAAGCAACAGAUUGACACAAUUGGACUUUUAUCAUUAAUCGUCUUGAAUUCUGAAAUGAUUGACUUGUUGAUAGAGAUGGAAUAGAGAAUGGUAAUUCAUUCGAUAUAAUACAUUUUGGCAUGUCAAAUACACCAACAAUUAAUGAUCUCAAAUCAGGCAAGGCUACCCGCUGAACUUAA